UUGGAGGGCAAGUCUGGUGCCAGCAGCCGCGGUAAUUCCAGCUCCAAUAGCGUAUAUUAAAGUUGUUGCAGUUAAAAAGCUCGUAGUUGAAUUUCAGGAUUCAUCCGUUGGUCGGGCUUCACGGUCCGUACUGGUGUGAUGGGUUCCUACCUUCUGAAUAACCGGCAUGCCAUUAAUUUGGUGCGCCGGGGAAGCAGAACUAUUACCUUGAAAAAAUUAGAGUGCUUAAAGCAGGCAAGUGCCUGAAUAGGUUAGCAUGGAAUAAUAAAAUAGGACGGCAUGGUUCUAUUUUGUUGGUUUCUAGGAUCACCGUAAUGAUUAAUAGGGAUAGUUGGGGGCAUUAGUAUUCAAUUGUCAGAGGUGAAAUUCUUGGAUUUAUUGAAGACUAACUUCUGCGAAAGCAUUUGCCAAGGAUGUUUUCAUUAAUCAAGAACGAAAGUUAGGGGAUCGAAGACGAUCAGAUACCGUCGUAGUCUUAACCAUAAACUAUGCCGACUAGGGAUCGGACGAUGUUAAUUUUUUAAUGACUCGUUCGGCGCCUUACGGGAAAC
Molecule: ribosomal RNA, 551 nt
Filed under: uncultured Glomeromycotina
Lineage: Eukaryota; Fungi; Glomeromycota
Description: SSU rRNA
Rfam family: Eukaryotic small subunit ribosomal RNA
Source: RNAcentral